UGUUUGUUUUUCCCACUCCUGGCUGCCCUCUCUGCUGCUCACCAGGUCAUCCUAACCCAGGCCGGUGUCAGGCAGCCCAGGGCAGUGGGUGGCUUUGCACUUUUUGUGCUGGGGGCUCUGUGAAGACAGAAUUUUGGAGCAAAAGUAACGAUUUUGGAACGGAGCAUUCACGUGGGGAGCUGCGCCACAAGGAUUUAUUAAAUAGCUCAUUCUGCAAUAAAUGCAGCGUAAAUUACAUACAAAACAGAACAAAUGGAGGAGCCGGGGAGGCCCUGGAGGACAAGUGCUCCAUUCAUAAGCACUCCGGAGCAGGCGUGUCUCCUGGGCUGGCGCUCACCCUGCAGCCUGCAGGCUCCUCCGCCCUCCUUGCCAUCGAAACAGCUCAGGAGUUUGGGCUGGAGCUGCGUGUCAGCCUUGCUUCCUGUUUGCUCACUUUGCUGCAAGUCAACAAUAAUAUUGAGAUUUAUUUUUUUCCUUUUUUUAAGGAGAAACGGUGACUCUCAUGUCCUGUGUCUGUCUCCAUAAAAUGGAGUGUUCAGGUCAAAUUAAGAUGCAAUGAUGGCACUGGGACUUCUCGUAGGUUAAAAUGUCUCUCUAUAAAAUGCCUCCAGCAUUUUAAGCAGGGGCAGUCGAGCCUGGAUGAUGACCUUUGACUCAACCUGCCUGCCAGUUUGGCCUUGGGGUCCCUCACCGCGGAGGGGCUGGGGCGAAGCAGGGACCUCGUUGUUUUGCUGGAGAGCCAGCAAUGAGACAUUUAUUGAAACAAGAGAAUAACGAGGAUAGUUUUAACAAGGCUCGGAAGAAGUGGUCUCUUAUCAGCAAUGAACUGAGUUGUUAUUCAACUCGGUUAUUAACCCUCAGUGAGUACCGGGACAGGGAACAGCGUGUAGGGCAGAGAGGGAGCUGCCAUCUGGAGGGACGGGGUUGGCCUGGGGCAAUAGGGUUCAUACAGAAGCAGCACAGCUCCACUGAUUUUCAGGCAGAAGAUCAGCAAACAGCUUUCCUGGUAGCCCCUGAGCACAGGGGCUGGCAGAGGGUUUGUGUCCAAAACUCCUCUCCUGACCCUGGCUGCAGACAGCGACGAGCACAGCUGCUUGGAAACCUCUCCUCUGGGCCUCUUGCAAUGGUGCAGAGAAACAGAGAAAUGCUGCCUGGUGCUGCCCCUCCGCAGGUGCUGCUUUCAUUCCAGCAGAAGGAAGGGCAGGAACGGAAAGAGCUCUGCAACACCACUUGGGCAGUCUCAAAAUGCCUCGUGCUCAUCCUCACAGCACCUUUGGGAACAGAGACAAUGUUCAAACGCCCAUUUUACAGCACCAGGCACUCAGCACUGCAGAAAAAGAAAUCCUUUGUGGUGCUGGAGAGAAAAAUGCGCGUGGCUGUGAGCUGCACAGAUCCAAUUUCAUCGCGGUGAGCUCGAGGAGGUACAUUCAGCCUUAUUUUUAUGCUCAUACGUGACUUGCAGUGACUAAUUGCUGAGAACUCCCUCCUCCUGUGUGUCUGCAGAUGUCUGCGAUUUCAAAGCACAGCGACUGGAGCCACCGCCGGAGGGCACAGGAGAUGAAAACCACUCUCGCUGCCUCCAAAUGGCCCCACACGUGUUCCUCGCCUAUAGCAGCAGACACUAUUUGUCCCAGAAUAAGGCAUCACCUCUGUGUUUAAUCUUUCACCCAGGGAUGUAAAUGGCUUUUCUGUGAAGCUGGAGCUGAGGGGAUCCCCACACAGCCCAGUCUGGUGGCACUGGGAGGGAAGAGAGCUGGACUGGGACUGUGCCUCCCAGGCUGCAGGGGAUGCUGAGAAGGGAUGUGGAGCUCAAGCCCUUCAUUUUGAGGCUGUUUUGGGUAUUUUAUAUCGAUGCUGUGGACACCUGCCCUGAACUCGGUGCCAGAGAAGGUGGUUUAAAUGCUGCUGGGUAUUUCUACAUGGCUCUGCGGAUGGAGAAAGGGAGAACCUCAGAGAAAUGCUCCCUAAAGGAGGGGUUGCCAUGCCACGUGGGGACCUAGGGGCUGUGCUGGGACCACCUUGCCCCACAGCAAAUCAGCUGCCAACAGCACUUUUGUGCUGAGUUCUGGGGCAAGCCAGGAGAUGGAGCUGCGAGUAGAAACACUGGGGAGCCACCACCUCCGAAGCCUGCCCCAGGUAUCUGCCCAGCAGGGACCAGCCACCUCCAGCUCCGUGUACUGGGAGCACCCACGGCAGGGCUCAGCGGUGCCACCGGGGGCUUUUGGGGACAUCUCCCCUGGGUGCUGCACCCUCAGCACCUCCCCAGCCCUGGCUGGAGAUGCCACGAGUUCUUUUGGGCCUUUUCACCUUCUCAGCUCAUGGCUCCGUUCUCAGCCAUCCUUACCUUCACAUCUCCGGCAGACAAAGAGAGGAUCGCUGCGUUAGCUGUGUCACCAGGGAGAGCUUAAAUAUUGUGAUUAAAAAAUUCCUGUCCUCUCGCAUAGCCUGCUCAGACGUGCAGGAAGAAACCUUGGCAAUUAGACUCCCUGCGCACUGACAGCAGGACAGCAGGGCAGAAGUUCUUUUUUCUUUCCUUUCCUUUUUUUUUUUAAAUUUUUAUUUUUUUUUUUUUAUUUUUCCCUAUCUGGAUGCUUCUGUGAUUUUAGAGCAGCAGGGAAAAAGGGCCUGUUUGAUUUUCUUCAUUAUGCUAACCUCAGUUUGACUUCCUGAUUGCCAAAGCAUGAUAAAUGGAACAGAUUACCUAGAGAUUCCCAAAUAUUUGCUUUUGAAUAUAUUUUUUUUUUUUCCUGAGCCUCAUUAAGGCGUUAAAGCUUGCAGAUUUUAUCUUUACUUUCUUCUUAGAGCAGAACAGUAUUGACAUGUAUUAAUAGCCAUAUUUUUUUUUUUUUUCAUUUGAAAUUAAAACCGGAUAGAUACUUCUCAUGCUUUCCUUUCAAAUCUUAUUUUAAAAAAUAUUGAGCAAGCGUAUUUUGUUUUUCUUUUCUCCCAGCCCUGCUGUAAAGGACGGUCACUAACAAAACGUUUUCAGUCCUGAAUCUUCGUGCAUCACUGGGUGCAGUUUUGUAGAUGUAGGGACAGGUUGUAGAAGGAUAUAAUGUACAGACACAAGAAGAAUGUGGUUUCCAACAGUAACAGACAAGAAAAGAGAUUUAAUUUAUAUAAUAAUCUGUAUAAUGUCUGCAAUCAGGUGGAGCAGAGCAGCUCAGACAUGAUAAGACAGCCCGUGAUGUGCCUGGGCGCAUCUCUCCGAUGCUAAAUGCUGUUGAAAGAUUUCAUCCCCCGGGACUUGAGGACAAAUGGCCAGAAAUAUCUCUUGGCUGAGAGCCCCCAGGCACACCCUGAGCUCUCUGCUCUCUGGGAGGGUGGCUGGGGCAGCGCAUGAGGAUGACACACAAAAGCCACCCCAACGUACCUGGCGGGGGUUCUGCUGGAGCCCCCAAAAUCGAGACACCUCCUGGGUGUUCGUGGUGUGCAUUCUCCUCUUCCUGUGCCUGCCCAUGGUCCCACAGAGGUUGUGGGGCAGCGUGAAGAUGUGAUGAGGUGUCCUUGUGCCACCCACCUGGGUUGGGAAAGGGCUUGGAGCACAUUGGGGCAGCGUGAUGGUGCGGGAGCUCUCCUCUGGGAUCCCGUGGAAGGUGCUGGAGUAAAUGGCCUGAGCUUC
Molecule: non-coding RNA, 3622 nt
Organism: Anas platyrhynchos (mallard)
Lineage: Eukaryota; Metazoa; Chordata; Aves; Anseriformes; Anatidae
Source: RefSeq, a predicted model, not a curated record